This 491-nucleotide ribosomal RNA is filed under the name Phycisphaerales bacterium. Its description in RNAcentral is "partial 23S ribosomal RNA". It matches the Rfam family "Bacterial large subunit ribosomal RNA", at positions 1 to 511 of the family's 2925-position model. The record is from RNAcentral. Lineage: Bacteria; Pseudomonadati; Planctomycetota; Phycisphaerae; Phycisphaerales.
UGUGGCCAAGCUACUAAGGGUAUACGGUGGAUGACUUGGCGUACAGAGGCGAUGAAGGUCGGUGUAGCCUCCGAAAAGCUCCGGGAAGCUGGCAAACAAGCGAUGAUCCGGAGAUGACCGAAUGAGGAAACUCAUUUACGGCCCGCUGAAUGCAUAGGCGGGUGCGAGCGAACGCAGGGAACUGAAACAUCUAAGUACCUGCAGGAACAGAAAGAGAAAUCGAUUCCGUCAGUAGUGGCGAGCGAACGCGGAAGAGCCCAAACCGGGGGUAACCCCGGGGUUGCGGGCCUCAAUGUGAGAGCUGCGUGGCUAUUCGAACCGUCUGGAAUGACGGGCCAAAGCGGGUGAAAGCCCCUUAGAAGAAAGCCGCAAAGCCUCUAGAGGUACCAGAGUAGCGCGAGACUCGUGAAAUCUCGUGUGAAUCCGGGCGGACCACCGCCCAAGGCUAAAUACUCCUGUACGACCGAUAGUGAACCAGUAGGGCGAUUGAA